Oryza brachyantha (malo sina) is the source of this 1697-nucleotide long non-coding RNA. RefSeq lists it as uncharacterized. The transcript has 5 exons. NCBI's taxonomy places the organism in Eukaryota, Viridiplantae, Streptophyta, Magnoliopsida, Poales, Poaceae. The record is from RefSeq and is a predicted model, not a curated record.
CCAUCCGCCACCGAAAACCUCUCCACUCCUCUCGAACCUUUCCGAGGCGGCGAAAUCCCACUGCCCGCGCCGCCCCGCCUCCUCCCUCCGCCACGCGGCCCCUCUCUCCUCCCGGAUCUGCGCCGGUGCCCGCGCGCGCGCGGAUGGCGAGCCCGGCGCGGCCGCGGGCUGGAGGUGCAAGACGUACAGUCAUUUUGGUUGGGGGAGGUCAGUUCUGCGGCCGCGUUGGACGGGGCCGGAUUGGCGAGGGCGGAGGCGGUGGGCGAACUGCGAACCACAUUCCCCAAGCGCGCCGCCGCCGGCGCGCGUGAAGGAGUAGGAGCAAGCGGAUGGGCGGCCGCCGGCCGGUGGAUCGAUCCUACAGGUUCAGGUUGUGAAGCACACCUGCUCUCGGCAUGAAAUCCAACAGGAGUCAAAUUUCUUCUGAUUAUUAGAGGGGAAGCAUCGAGGUUCAUGCAUUUCUGUUGCAGAAGGAACAGCAAGAUGUUAUAGAGCUUACUAUAAUGUAUGCACUAAUGCACAUGUAGAGCCGAAGAGGCUUGAUGCUGAGGUCAAUCGAUCCUUGAGCAUUGGAUACUUACUCGUUCAUAUAUUUCCUCGGUGGAAAUUGUCGACACAACCAAAGUACGGAUAGCAGACCUCGACGAUGCUCAAGAGCCAAACGCCAGAAGAAGAGAGCUAGGUGUAGCCAAGGACAGACUUGCCGGCUAACUCCAAGGUUCAGCAAAGCUGAGAUUCUCCCAAUACCAGGAGCCGGCAAGUCAUCCUUGGCUGCAUCCCGUUCUCCGCUUCACAGCGCAUGGCAACCCAGCAGAAGCUUCCUCACUACUACUGCAUAUACAGGUUCUAACAUAGAGUCAAACGACGUAGUACUUACGAGUUGACGAGGAAAGCUGCUCAACUCCAUGCAUAGCAAAACCAAAAUCGGUGAAGUCGAUCUGCUCCUGAAGAUUGAAUGCUGGUGAGUUUGUGAGGCUUGAGCUAAGCACCAGGGUCGGGUUCUGCGUCACUACGGCCGGCAAGUUCAUGUUCUUCGCUCCUUUGAUCGUCGCGACUUGGGAAUUGGAUUCUCUCAUAGGCGGACGUACAGGCCAUCCAGUCCAUCCAAAUUGGUGGAUGCGACGCUGCUCGACAUUCUCGUCUAUGGUGAGCUAGCUAAAGCGGUUCGGCGUUAGAAGGCUUUUCCCCGGUGCCUUUCCGGUGGCCUUUCUACGAGACCUUGACACGUCGACCGGCAGAGUGGUAUCAUGGCACGACAAAAAAAUAAAAAAAUAAAAAGGGUGAGCAAAAGGUACUUCGUCCAGUAGCCUACGUACGUGUCCUCCUGUGGCUCCCACCGACGGCAUCCUUUCGAGCUUAGGGUAGACACUUUGGAGAGGCUAUGUAACAUUAUAGAUUUAGGGCGAUCAAUGAUAAUAUUUAGCUCUAAAAUUCAUAUUACUCUGUCCUCCUAAGUAUAGCUGUCACUAUAAAUCUAAACGGGUUUAGUAUCUAUAUUUGUAGUACCAGAAAUGACCAAAUCGUAUAUUAGAUAGCUCUACUUUAGAAUGGAAGAAGUAUCUUUACACCUUAUAAAUAAGGUUAUAACACAUAAUUGAGACCAUAUGUUUAUCUUAGGUUGGGUGUAGUCUGUCUAUAAAAGUAACCAGUUUUGUUCUCUUAGGGCACGUUUAAAGGGUUCUUAUUGUUGUCUCUAU